Oryzias latipes (Japanese medaka) is the source of this 498-nucleotide long non-coding RNA. RefSeq lists it as uncharacterized. The record is from RefSeq and is a predicted model, not a curated record. Lineage: Eukaryota; Metazoa; Chordata; Actinopteri; Beloniformes; Adrianichthyidae.
GGUGGCAGCUCUGGGAAAGAAACAGUUCAAGUGAUGGGAAAUGGACAAGGAACCUCCAACUCCUUCUCCUUCAACAUGUUUGAGUUCUCUGGAAAGGAACCUUCAGAAGUCUACCUUCACUGCCAGCUGCAGCUGUGUGUCAAAAAGAACGGCAGCUGUGAGCCGGGUUGCUCUGGUCCAGCUAGAAGACGCAGAUCUCUCAGAUACAGACGUGGAGCUCCAGCCUUGAUCAGCAUGGUCUGGACUCCUUAGAUUUCUUUCAUGGGGACCUUGACUAAACAUCAGAGUGCCGAUCCAAUCCUGGUUCUGAACCUGGAUGUGUGAAAAAGAUCAGUUCUGGCUGCUGUUAAUCAAAUUUGUUAACUUGAACUGCAGGAAUUCUGCUGCUGUCUAAUUCUGAAAAGGGAAGGAAACUGUCACUUUAUUAUUUUAUCAUUUAUCUGUUCUCUGCUUUAUUACUUAGAUGGGGAAGGAACUGAGUGAGCUAAAAGCUGUUAU